RNAcentral lists this ribosomal RNA (448 nucleotides) under uncultured bacterium. Its description in RNAcentral is "SSU rRNA". It matches the Rfam family "Bacterial small subunit ribosomal RNA", at positions 26 to 518 of the family's 1533-position model. The record is from RNAcentral.
AGAGCGAACGCUGGCGGCAGGCCUAACACAUGCAAGUCGAGCGCCCGUAGCAAUACGGGAGCGGCAGACGGGAUAGUAACACGUGGGAACGCGCCCUUCGGUUCGGAAUAACUCAGGGAAACUUGAGCUAAUACCGGAUACGCCCUUACGGGGAAAGAUUUAUUGCCGAAGGAACGGCCCGCGUCCGAUUAGCUAGUUGGUGAGGUAAUGGCUCACCAAGGCGACGAUCGGUAGCUGGUCUGAGAGGAUGACCAGCAUCACUGGGACUGAGACACGGCCCAGACUCCUACGGGAGGCAGCAGUGGGGAAUAUUGGACAAUGGGCGCAAGCCUGAUCCAGCCAUGCCGCGUGGAUGAUGAAGGCCUUAGGGUUGUAAAGUCCUUUUAACGGGGAAGAUAAUGACGGUACCCGUAGAAUAAGCCCCGGCUAACUUCGCGCCAGUAGCCGC